Molecule: transfer RNA, 72 nt
Filed under: Marmota monax (woodchuck)
Lineage: Eukaryota; Metazoa; Chordata; Mammalia; Rodentia; Sciuridae
Description: tRNA.Ala
Source: RNAcentral
UGGGUUGUGGCUCAGUGGUAGAGCUCUCACCUAGCAUAUGUGAAGCACUGGAUUUGAUCCCCAGUACCACAU